CUUGCGCGCGCUCGCUCGCUGGCGCCGAGGAAAACGUUGCGCAGGUUCAAAAAUGGAACGUCGGCGGCGUGAGGGAGCGCGAGGGGGUGUGCGCGCGUGCGCGUGCGCGCCCGGACGAGGGUGACGGGGACCCCGCCAGCCCCAGCAUCGCGCGCCGCAGCCGCGGCCCCGCAGCUCCGCCCCCGGCCCGGCCCGGCCCCGGGCCCGCUCGCCCGCCGCCCCGCAUGGAGCUGUCAGCCAUCGGCGAGCAGGUGUUCGCCGUGGAGAGCAUCCGGAAGAAGCGCGUGCGGAAGGGUAAAGUCGAGUAUCUGGUGAAGUGGAAAGGAUGGCCCCCAAAGUAAGCUCCUUCAUGUGUGUGUGUCUGUCUGUCUGCCUACCGACCCAUGCAUUCCUCCACCUGCCUUUUGCCCCCUCCCCUGCCUAGCUUUUAGCUCCAGCUACUCUUGUAACUGGACAGCUGACCUUGAUUUAAUCAUCAUCUUCUCUGGGCCUCAGUUUCCCCCUGGACCACAGGAGGGUCAAGGUGGGUCUCCAGCUUCUCUUCUCACCCUGCCCUCCUGAGUGUUGAGCUCCUCUGCUAGUUGGAGCUUCUGCUCUCCCUCCUCCCCUCCCUGUGGCUUUUCUUGGCAACUGGGAGGUAAAGGCCCAGCAUCCGGGCUACUGGAGAUGGCUUCUGGAGAGGAGGAGGGGCCCCCAGCUGCUUUAAGCACAGUGCUGCAUGAGUCCUCAGUGCUGUGUGGCCAGGGGCAGAGCCUGAAUCCCCCUCACCUCUAGACGGCACUUUCCAGUCUAUAGAGCAGGUUCCCAUACAGCUUUGUAAGGUAGGUGUGAUCAGGCGCUCUCAAGGUGAGGAAACAGGCUCAGAGAGGGUAAGCAGCUUGCCUUAGGUCCACAGCAAGUGGAGGCAGAGUUGGGACUUGAACUAGGCCUUCUCCUUUUCAGGUGUCUCCUCUGUGCCUUCCCAGCCUCCCAUCUCAGAGUUGGGAGGCAGGGAGCUGCAUCUGAGACCUCCCAGCUUCUCCACCUCUCCUGCUGAGGCCCCAUCAGGAACCCACCAAUGCCCUCCAGCAGGGAGUUGUUGGGAGGGGGAGGGAAUGAGCUAGUCGUGGGGCCUCCCCAUUGGUCUGUGGGUGCCCCACCCCCUGCCCCGCCUCCCGGAGACUGACUCCUGGAAACCCCCUCUGCCCAGAGCUGCUGCUGUUGGGCAGGGACUUUUUGCUGUGCUGGUGGGGGCUGACCUGGUAUCGGGUCCUGUGGGCAUUCUGGGGUGAUGGUGGGGAGGGACAGCAGAGAGGAAGACAGCCCACAGUGCCUCAGCUUCCCUCUCUGCAAAAUGGGUUCAGAAACCCAGGCCCUGCACUCGUCUCACAGGCUUGGUGGCCCUGUGGGAUGAAAGGCCUGGGCACAUGUUCUGGGUGACCUGUGGAUAUCCUGAUGACAGGGGUUGGGAGCUGGCAGGCCGAGAAUACACUCCACCCCUCACACCAACCCCCACUUCAGUUUUCCCUUCCCGAAUAUUCUGAGGGCUGAAGGAGAAUCCCUCCCCCGCCACACCCAGCUGCUAGAAGGUGGGCUUCCAGCCUGAGUGAAGGGGGCAGUAAAGGGAGUGACGAUGCCCAGAGUGGGCAGCAGGAGCACCGCCUCCCUGGGCGCGCACACCCCUGCCUCUCUCGCUUCGCACCAGGAAGCUGUGGCCACCAGCUGUUAGCCUUCAGGACACUAUUGGCUAUUUUUCCUCCUCUGGAGACUCCACUCUUUGGAAGAUUCUCUUCUGUAAACAGAGGCCGUUAUGAAUGAAAAGUUCCUUCCCCCACUUUGAUUGAUCCUGGAUGUGAAUCCAUCUGCCCACUGCAGCUCGUCAGGAGGGAAGGAAGGAGGCUCCCAGAGCAGAGGCCCUCGAUGCUUCUGUUGCGCUGUGCCCCUAGCCUGGGGACCCAUUUGUUUCUUAACAUGCUGAGGCCACCAGAUGGGCCCUCAUGGCUGCCUCUUCUCACCCCCCUCCACUUUGGUCCUGGGUUCUAGGCCUGGCUGCCCACCCGACAGGCAUGAGCCCUGGGACAGGGGCCCACCAUGGCUGGGUCUCUGCUUCCUCGUCUUCGAGUUGAGAUGGUGAAGCCUCCUUUGCAGGCUACUGUGAGGGUGAGAGGGUGGAUGUAAUUGAGCGAAUGCAUGUUCAGCCCAGUCCAAGUGCUUUAGUAAACAUUUGGUUUUAAGAUUAAGUUAGAUAGAUAGCCUAGCUGUACUUUUUGUUUUCCCCAGUCAGGAAAGGGACCUAAGGGAUUCCCUUCUUCUCAGGAGUGCAAAGUAUCCUUAGAAAUCAUUUAGGCCAGUCCUCUGAUUUUUCAGAUGGGGAAACUGAGGCCCAGAGAGGGUUGGUCCUUAAAAAAAUAUAACUGCCAACCCCAUGCACUGUGGUGCCCACUUCAUGCCAUCCACAGUGCCACCACGGUCUGGGAGUGAGGCAGGUAUGGCUGCUAACCAUCCCCACCUCACUUGGGGGAAACAGAGGUUCACUCUGGGGGAGAAGCAGGGGAGCCAGCUCUGUCUUCCCCUCCUCGGGGGCCCUGCUUGGAGAAAAAGCUGAGAAAGAGGGUGGGGGGUGGGGAGUUAGGCAGGCUGUGUCCUCCAGGCCUGGGAGCCUUGGCUGGGCAGUGCCGGCCUGGGCGGGGUAGUCAUUCUCCUGCUCAGCAUCUGCCCUGUAGGUGGGGAGACUUACAUUCUUCUCAGUAACAGUAACAGGAACCAUGAUUUAAGUGGACACUCUGGGAUGGGCAUGGUGGUUCAUGCCCGUAAUCCCAGCAUUUUGGGAGACUGAGGUGGGCGGAUCACUUGAGGUCAGGAGUUCCAGACCAGCCUGGCCAACAUGGCAAAAACCCCGUCUCUACCAAAAGCAUAAAAAAUUAGCCAGGCAUGGUGAUGUGCGCCUGUAAUCCCAGCUACUUGGGAGGCUGAGACAGGAGAAUCGUGCCACUGCACUCCAGCCUGGGCAACACAGUGAGAUGCCGUCCCCCAC
Molecule: small RNA, 3013 nt
Filed under: Pan troglodytes (chimpanzee)
Lineage: Eukaryota; Metazoa; Chordata; Mammalia; Primates; Hominidae
Description: retained intron
Source: RNAcentral